UGAGUGAUCAGUCAUUGAGUGUGAUGACAAUGCCAUCAAUCAUGAAUGCUGAAGCACUGGCCUUUGACUGGCUGGAACAGUAUCUAUACUGGAGCUGUAACACAAAUCAAAUAUGCCAAGGGUCUGUAUCUGCUCGUGGGGUUGAGAUAUUUUUCCAAGCAGAGCAGAAGAUUCUCAGUUUGGUGGUUGAUUCAUUGAAUGCUGCCAUCUACUGGAGCACUGAAACAUCAGUAGAAGGUUGUAGAUUGGAUGGAGAAGACUACCAACUCCUGGAAAAACUGAGUGUGUUCUCUGGGAAAGAGCAGGUACUUCAUUAGACGCUGACAUGACAUUGAUUAUUGUGAUUGUAUCGAUCGCUGCCUAUAUUAAACUGAUUAUUCUCAUCUUCCCCGCAGUUAUAGUUUGGCAAAUACACCAUAAGAAAAAGGAUCAUGGGAUGGUUACACAAAGAGGUGCACACGUCCAUCCAGAUGUAGAGUUGGAGUAUAUUCGAGGUUUAGUUGGUCUUGGGAAUGGCCGCUGUGCUAUCAGUAACAUACCCGCCCAUGGAGAGAUUGAGUCACUUCCUGUGUUUCCUAGAGACUGUCUGAGCUUCAGAAGUCGUUGGGUUGUGGUGCUUUUGGAGACGUUUAUGAAGGAGUUACAGUUGGCAGCCAAAUCACUGAAGUUGUUCCAGAGAUGAGAGUGGCUGUCAAGGGACAUUGCUGCAAGGAACUGUCUGCUGUCUGUAAGAAGCUACACAGACCCAGAAAGGUAUAAUCUGAUGAUGAGCUGCUGGAGCAAAGAACCAACUAAGAGGCCAAACUUUCAGGACCUUGAGGAAGCCCUGAGUAAACUGAGAGAUUAUGAGGCGGAUAAAAGAGCAAACAAAGAGCAGCAGGUCAUGUGAACCAAGCCUACCAAGAAGAUGAAGAGGAGGUCUGCACUAGUGUGAAGAUGAAGAUGAAGACCUGGAAACUGGACUGUCUCCGGUGCUCAGCAAUGAGAGACUGAAUUACUUGAUGUAUCAUGCUGAGAGCCCGGAGAGUGUCCAGACAGACUCAUCGACACCCACCGAAGAUAGAUAAGACUAUAAUUGCCAGUGUUGACAUCGCUGGCAUCCGAAGUUUGUACAAAUUGUGAGCCGGACCUCACUUUGUAAUCUUCUUCCUUGUAAAUACUGUAUAAAACAGCAGCAACAAUGAAAAUAAUAAUGUAGAAUGAUGCAUAAAAAGUUAUAUAUGUAUUUCCUAAAACAAAUACCAGUGGUUGAAUUUGUUAAAUUAUGCAAACAGCCAAAUGAAUGAAUGAAAGUUGUAUUUUUGAUGUAUAGGAUUAAUGUAGAGUUGAAUGAUCAAUAAAAAGAGAUA
Molecule: long non-coding RNA, 1349 nt
Organism: Cyprinus carpio carpio
Lineage: Eukaryota; Metazoa; Chordata; Actinopteri; Cypriniformes; Cyprinidae
Source: Ensembl